AUUACCUGUCAACUAUAUCUCUGUCAAGAACAUUGGAUGAAAGCGUUUACUUCAAGCAUUAUGUGAAAACUAUCACUGAUCAUUAAAUAGUAAUAUUUAUUACGCUAAAUUACAAAGACACACACACACACAAAGAGAGAGAGAGAGAGAGAGUAGAACUUGGUGUGCGUAUGUUUUGGUGCGCGCACAUACAAACGAGCGGGAACACAAAUACGCUGAGGCACGCUUUUCGCGCCGUUUGUUUCUUUCACUGAUGUGACAACACUGAGAUCACAGGAGAUUGAUGAAAGAAAAAAAGGUAAGAAACAGAGAAUUGAAAUAUUUACUGAGGCGCUUGGGUACUAGAGGAGUUUAUUUGAUGUUGAAUUAUUGAUAAGAUCCCUCAGGGACUGCGUUUUAGGGUGGUGGAAACCAUAACAGGAAAAUAUACCAUAAGCAGCAUACACCAUACCCUAGAAAUCAUCGCGAUAGUCCCGCAGUUCUGUUCUUAUCCCGUUGCCAGCUGUGCCAGGAUCAGUUCUUCAGCAUCUGUCUACAUACAACAACACUGUGGUUAGCCCAUAUAAGAAUCAGUGCUACUCUGAAACUGUAGCUUGCUAAGCUACACUGUUAGACAUUUCUGUAAUUUCCACAGUUACUGUAUAUCACCCAGUGUAAUACUGCAAAUUCCCUUUACAGUGAAUAACUGUAAUACCCUUUGCAUCAUGGGAAUUUUCUGUGACGUCAGACCCCACAUACAGAGACUUACUGUAUUUUUUAAAAUUGCUGUAUACUACUGUAACGAUCUCUUUGGCGCCAUUAUACUGAGGUCGUUUUAUUUUCCUAAUUUCUUACAUUUGGAUUGACACAAUUUACCCUACACCGUGUCUACAACACCGCAGCAGCUUGGGACUGACUACUGGAUGUGUUAUAUCGCUUGUAAUGAUUGGAAAAUCCGUUUGUAAUUCGUGUCAGAAACAGUGCCAGCGCCUGGAGUACAUCUGCACGUCAGAAAUAUACCGGGGCAUCGCUUUACUGUCCGCAUCCACUGUAGAUAGUAUAUAUAAUGGGUUCUAUAUUGUUUUUUAUCGAGUCGCGCCGCGCCACUCGCGUCCGAGGAAGACACGGAAGCAGCGGGGCAGCGCCGGGGAUGAACCCGUGAGAGUGGAAGGGCUCCGGAGAACAUCUAUGCUGUGUGUCGAUGCACUUUACGAGAGAAUAAGACCAGCAAGCAAGGCAACUGCAAUGAAGCAUCAAGAAAGACAUGAGCAGGCCAGCCACCCUGAGACUGAUAAUUCAUGAGAAGACAUUUCUGUCAAAGUGGAUGGUGAGCAAAGAUGGUGGCCACGUUUUGGAGCAGCACCUGGGUUUUGCAGAUGGCUAUGUAUUCUUUGGCUGCUUGUCUUUUUUUCCUCAUUAUGUUUCUGUUGCCUAAAGAUUCUUUGUGAGGAUAAAUCCAGAGGACACAACAUAAUGCACUGCAAAACGUCCUGAGACAGGAGAAAUGGUGAAGAUGCACUGUUCCAGCAUUGGAAGUCUGUAUUUUUAA
Onychostoma macrolepis is the source of this 1528-nucleotide long non-coding RNA. RefSeq lists it as uncharacterized. The transcript is spliced from 3 exons. The record is from RefSeq and is a predicted model, not a curated record. NCBI's taxonomy places the organism in Eukaryota, Metazoa, Chordata, Actinopteri, Cypriniformes, Cyprinidae.